Molecule: ribosomal RNA, 979 nt
Filed under: uncultured soil bacterium
Lineage: Bacteria
Description: partial small subunit ribosomal RNA
Rfam family: Bacterial small subunit ribosomal RNA
Source: RNAcentral
UGGUCUAAUAUAUUGCCCUGCGAUUCGCCUUAGAGUUUGAUCCUGGCUCAGGAUAAACGCUGGCGGCGUGCCUAACACAUGCAAGUCGAACGCCCUGCGUAAGCAGGGAGUGGCGGACGGGUGAGGAACACGUGGGUUAUCUACCUUGAGGUGAGGAAUACCGGCGAGAAAUCGCCGACAAUACCGCAUACGUUUGGAGACAAACAAAGCUGAGAAAUCGGCGCCACAAGAUGAGCCUGCGCCCGAUUAGCUUCGUUGGUGGGGUAACGGCCUACCAAGGCGAUGAUCGGUAGCCGGCCUGAGAGGGCGCACGGCCACACUGGAACUGAAACACGGUCCAGACUCCUACGGGAGGCAGCAGUGGGGAAUUUUGCGCAAUGGGGGAAACCCUGACGCAGCAACACCGCGUGGAGGAUGAAGUCCCUUGGGACGUAAACUCCUUUCGACCGGGACGAUAAUGACGGUACCGGUGGAAGAAGCCCCGGCUAACUUCGUGCCAGCAGCCGCGGUAAUACGAGGGGGGCGAGCGUUGUUCGGAAUUAUUGGGCGUAAAGGGCGCGUAGGCGGUGCGGUAAGUCACCUGUGAAACCUCUAGGCUUAACCUAGAGCCUGCAGGCGAAACUGCCGUGCUGGAGUGUGGGAGAGGUGCGUGGAAUUCCCGGUGUAGCGGUGGAAUGCGUAGAUAUCGGGAGGGACACCUGUGGCGAAAGCGGCGCACUGGACACAACUGACGCUGAGCGCGAAAGCUAUGGGAGCAAACAGGAUUAGAUACCCUGGUAGUCUAGCCUUAACGAUGGAUGCUUGCUGUGUUGGGUACCCAAUCCCAACGUGCGAAGCUAACGCGAUAAGCAUCCUGCUUCGGGAGUACGUUCGCAGGCUGAAACCAAUGAAUUGACGGGGGUCCGCCAAGCGUGGAGCAUGUGGUCAAUUCACUCACCGAGACCUUACUAGCUCGAACGCCAUGACGGGUGGAAUUACU